UACGAAGGGGGCUAGCGUUGCUCGGAAUCACUGGGCGUAAAGCGCACGUAGGCGGAUCUUUAAGUCCGGUGUGAAAUCCUGGAGCUCAACUCCAGAACUGCCUUUGAUACUGGGGAUCUCGAGUCCGGAAGAGGUGAGUGGAACUCCGAGUGUAGAGGUGAAAUUCGUAGAUAUUCGGAAGAACACCGGUGGCGAAAGCGGCGCACUGGACCACAACUGACGCUGAGGCGCGAAAGCUAGGGGAGCAAACAGG
Molecule: ribosomal RNA, 253 nt
Filed under: uncultured bacterium
Lineage: Bacteria
Description: partial 16S ribosomal RNA
Rfam family: Bacterial small subunit ribosomal RNA
Source: RNAcentral